This 64-nucleotide transfer RNA is filed under the name Bathymodiolus puteoserpentis. RNAcentral describes it as "tRNA-Asp". It matches the Rfam family "tRNA". From Rfam's summary of the family: Transfer RNA (tRNA) molecules are approximately 80 nucleotides in length. Lineage: Eukaryota; Metazoa; Mollusca; Bivalvia; Mytilida; Modiolidae. The record is from RNAcentral.
AAGAAAAUAGUUAAGUAUAAUAUUGGUUUGUCAUUCCAAAGUCAGCGAUUUUCGCUUUUUCUUG